This 460-nucleotide ribosomal RNA is filed under the name uncultured bacterium. RNAcentral describes it as "partial 16S ribosomal RNA". It matches the Rfam family "Bacterial small subunit ribosomal RNA", at positions 338 to 795 of the family's 1533-position model. The record is from RNAcentral.
CCUACGGGGGGCUGCAGUGAGGAAUAUUGGUCAAUGGACGAGAGUCUGAACCAGCCAAGUAGCGUGAAGGAUGACUGCCCUAUGGGUUGUAAACUUCUUUUAUAAAGGAAUAAAACGUGGCACGUGUGCCUUUUUGUAUGUACUUUAUGAAUAAGGAUCGGCUAACUCCGUGCCAGCAGCCGCGGUAAUACGGAGGAUCCGAGCGUUAUCCGGAUUUAUUGGGUUUAAAGGGAGCGUAGAUGGGUUGUUAAGUCAGUUGUGAAAGUUUGCGGCUCAACCGUAAAAUUGCAAUUGAUACUGGCAGUCUUGAGUACAGUUGAGGUAGGCGGAAUUCGUGGUGUAGCGGUGAAAUGCUUAGAUAUCACGCAGAACCCCGAUUGCGAAGGCAGCUUACUAAACUGUGACUGACAUUGAUGCUCGAAAGUGUGGGUAUCGAACAGGAUUAGAUACCCGGGUAGUC